AUUGAACGCUGGCGGAAUGCUUUACACAUGCAAGUCGAACGGCAGCACGGGGGCAACCCUGGUGGCGAGUGGCGAACGGGUGAGUAAUACAUCGGAACGUGCCCAGUCGUGGGGGAUAACGUAGCGAAAGUUACGCUAAUACCGCAUACGAUCUAUGGAUGAAAGCGGGGGACCGUAAGGCCUCGCGCGAUUGGAGCGGCCGAUGUCAGAUUAGGUAGUUGGUGGGGUAAAGGCCCACCAAGCCGACGAUCUGUAGCUGGUCUGAGAGGACGACCAGCCACACUGGGACUGAGACACGGCCCAGACUCCUACGGGAGGCAGCAGUGGGGAAUUUUGGACAAUGGGCGCAAGCCUGAUCCAGCCAUUCCGCGUGCAGGACGAAGGCCUUCGGGUUGUAAACUGCUUUUGUACGGAACGAAAAGGUCCUGGUUAAUACCCGGGGCUCAUGACGGUACCGUAAGAAUAAGCACCGGCUAACUACGUGCCAGCAGCCGCCGUA
RNAcentral lists this ribosomal RNA (499 nucleotides) under uncultured bacterium. Its description in RNAcentral is "partial 16S ribosomal RNA". It matches the Rfam family "Bacterial small subunit ribosomal RNA", at positions 30 to 522 of the family's 1533-position model. The record is from RNAcentral.